CCUACGGGUGGCAGCAGUGGGGAAUAUUGCACAAUGGGGGAAACCCUGAUGCAGCGACGCCGCGUGAGUGAAGAAGUAUUUCGGUAUGUAAAGCUCUAUCAGCCGGGAAGAAAUAGCGACCUUUGGGUCGCCAGACGGUAUCUGUCUAAGAAGCCCCGGCAAACUACGGGCCCGCAGCCGCGGUAAUACGGAGGAUGCGAGCGUUAUCCGGAGUUAUUGGGGUUAAAGGGUGCGCAGGCGGAAGAUCAAGUCAGCGGUAAAAUUGAGAGGCUCAACCGCUUCGAGCCGUUGAAACUGGGUUUCUUGAGUUAGGGAGAAGUAUGCGGAAUGCGUGGUGUAGCGGGGAAAUGCAUAGAGAUCACGCAGAACUCCGAUUGCGAAGGCAGCAUACCGGCGCUCAACUGACGCUCAUGCACGAAAGUGUGGGUAUCGAACAGGAUUAGAUACCCCAGUAGUC
This 457-nucleotide ribosomal RNA is filed under the name uncultured bacterium. RNAcentral describes it as "partial 16S ribosomal RNA". It matches the Rfam family "Bacterial small subunit ribosomal RNA", at positions 338 to 795 of the family's 1533-position model. The record is from RNAcentral.